This 492-nucleotide ribosomal RNA is filed under the name uncultured bacterium. RNAcentral's name for it is "partial 16S ribosomal RNA". It matches the Rfam family "Bacterial small subunit ribosomal RNA", at positions 29 to 507 of the family's 1533-position model. The record is from RNAcentral.
AGUGAACGCUGGCGGCAGGCCUAACACAUGCAAGUCGAACGGCAGCACAGUAAGAGCUUGCUCUUACGGGUGGCGAGUGGCGGACGGGUGAGGUAUACAUCGGAAUCUACUUUUUCGUGGGUGAUAACGUAGGGAAAGUUACGCUAGUACCGCAUACGACCUACGGGGGGAAGCAGGGGUUCUUUGGACCUUGUGCGAUUGAAUGUGCCGAUGUCGGAUUAGCUAGAUGGCGGGGUAAAGGCCCAGCAAGGCGACGAUCCGUAGCUGGUCUGAGAGGAUGAACAGCCACACGGGCAGUGAGAAAGGGCCCAGACACCUACGGUGAGCAGCAGUGCGGAAUAUUGCGCAAUGGAGGAGAGCCUGAUCCAGCCAUACCGGGGAAGUGAUGAAGGAGUUCGGGUUGUAAAAUCCUUUAGGUGUGAAAGAAGUGAAGUACUUUAAUCCCCCGCGGUAAUGACGGUACCCAAAGAAUAAGCCCCGGCUAACUUCGUG